RNAcentral lists this ribosomal RNA (498 nucleotides) under uncultured bacterium. RNAcentral's name for it is "partial 16S ribosomal RNA". It matches the Rfam family "Bacterial small subunit ribosomal RNA", at positions 28 to 506 of the family's 1533-position model. The record is from RNAcentral.
GAUGAACGCUGGCGGCGUGCCUAAUACAUGCAAGUCGAGCGAACAGACGAGAGUGCUUGCACUCUCUGACGUUAGCGGCGGACGGGUGAGUAACACGUGGGUAACCUACCUAUAAGACUGGGAUAACUUCGGGAAACCGGAGCUAAUACCGGAUAAUAUUUAGCUUCGCAUGAAGCAAUAGUGAAAGACGGUUCUGCUGUCACUUAUAGAUGGACCCGCGGUGUAUUAGCUAGUUGGUGAGGUAACGGCUCACCAAGGCAACGAUACAUAGCCGACCUGAGAGGGUGAUCGGCCACACUGGGACUGAGACACGGCCCAGACUCCUACGGGAGGCAGCAGUAGGGAAUCUGCCGCAAUGGACGAAAGUCUGACGGAGCAAUGCCGCGUGAGUGAAGAAGGUUUUCGGAUCGUAAAACUCUGUUGUAAGGGAAGAACAAGUACGUUAGUAACUGAACGUACCUUGACGGUACCUUACCAGAAAGCCACGGCUAACUACGU